Hermetia illucens (black soldier fly) is the source of this 3189-nucleotide long non-coding RNA. RefSeq lists it as uncharacterized. Lineage: Eukaryota; Metazoa; Arthropoda; Insecta; Diptera; Stratiomyidae. The transcript is spliced from 4 exons. The record is from RefSeq and is a predicted model, not a curated record.
CCCGAAUAUCAAAAAAUCACUUUAUCCGUAUAUUCUACACUAUAUCUAGACACAACUGAUCCAAAAAAAAAGAUUCGAUUCCUCGGAUCCGACACGCGGGAUGACCCCCUUAAUACAUAUUGUUCAAAUACGAAGGGUGUACAUAUAUUAUUCUCGCGGGAACUAAAAUCAAUGAGGCAAUAACUACAGGUAUGCGCUAUGUCGAAUCGAUCGGCUUUUAGCUCCGAGGAAAGCGUGCAACAUUGGUUUAUUUCCUAUGAGAAAAGCGAAUACAGAAUUAGAGAAUAACAGUGGCUGCGAGUUGGUUUACUUCCGGAGACUUUACAACCUGCAAUAUAGGCAGUAGUCGAAGAUUUCGAAGUUCCAUAAUCUCCGCCAUUAAGGCGUCCACUGUUGUUGAAUAAACUGAAUAAUAUUUAAUGGCGGAAGAAUCCGACUUGGAGCUAGGUUUUGAAUCGUGCUGAAGCACUUGAUUUCAAGACCAGAAUAUUAGCGCUCGCAAUACAGAUAAACUUUCCAUAAAAAAACAACAUAAAGGCUGCAAAGUUUCACCAAUCACCAUAGUCUUUCAAAAAUUUCAAAAGAUUCCAGAUGUUACCCAAUGGUGUCAUUAGGAAGGAGAUCCAAUGGAAACUGCAUGGUUCCUUUAUGCGGGCUGACACGUUUGGUACUUGCCGCAAACCCCAAAGCUCUACAAACGUUUGGCUUGAUUUUGGGGAACAAACAUCGCCAUCCGUACGUUUGCAAGUGUGUUAGUGUUUGAUUUGUCCAGAAACCCGACACUCGCUUGGAUCGGAUGAAAGCCUACACACCAAAACCAAACACUAGAUUCGGUAUAAGAUUCAGCUCAUUGGACGCUCGCUUUAAAUUCUGCUUAGGAAAUCGCGCAUGGGGAAUAAUAUUUUUAUGGAAAUACGAUCUGACUGUGUAUUCUUAUUAAUGUUUAUUUGAUUUAACAAUCGUAAAGGAAAACACUAAGUGUUCAGUUUUGCCCUUUGUCCAUACUGCUCUGGCAAUAUACAUCCGUAUAAUGUAAAGUGCACCAAUUACGUCUAUGUUUCGUCACUGCCGGUCCCUGAUAAUCUGUGCUAGUUCUUUCUAGGAUUUCUAAGAGAGCCUGCAGUCCUUCUCGUCCCAUGUGCCUAUGCCUUUCAAAUAACACACUUCAGUUUUGCCGAACUCAUGGAUUUUUUGCUUUAAUAAAAAAAAACUGUUGCUCGCCAAGAUAAUCAUAGCUUAGCCUUCAAAUCGACAAUGAUUAGAUCAUUAUUAAAUUGUCGGAAUGAUCAAAUAUGCAAUGUAAGGUUGACUUGUUUUACGCUUUGUACUUAAAUUUAAGACGUUGUGAUCUAAAUUUUACACAGUCGGAUGGCGCAUCUGUGAGAUUAAAUGAAAACUAGAAGGAAAUUUUGCCAAUUUGAAUUUUUAGGUCAAAUUUGGCUACAUUUUAACUUCAAGUAUAUCACGGAGAAGGUAAUAAUGUACCCGGGAAGUUUGGAAAAAUUCAUACGCUUUGUACCUCACAGAUUGGUCACGCACGACCAGUUCAAUUCCUUCUUCUUAAUCAAACAAAAGCAAUCAUCACUCGUUUCAAUCUCCCUUCAUUGUUUCAAUUUGAGAAAAAAAAUGUGUCGAUUGUAACAGUAGAGAAAUUCUAAAUGUGCCCUUUAUGUUAAAUCUGUAUACGCAUUCAGAAUAUGAUAGAAUAACCACACUUAUUAAUCUAGCAUGUAAACAUGGAAAACUACAAACUAAAUAAAAUAAAUAAAUUGUAAUAAGUAGAGCGAAUGUGAAAUUAGAAUUGCAUAAAACAAGAAUGAUCAUAAAACAAAAGAAAUAUUUAUGAAUACAGACAAACUACAAUAGGGAUUUAUCACAAGAAUAAUUUUUAAUGAGAAAAUAUUUUACCGUAAUCGUAUAUUAUUGCAAACAUGACAUAAUACCUAGAGUCGUAACUAAUAGGCUAUACAUUUAUAUACAUACAUAUAUAAAUAGAAAUAAAAUCAAACAUCUAAUGUUCAUAUUUAUAUAUAUAUUCACCGUUUACCAUUGAUGUAUUCAUCAUUUCUUUACAAUUUUUUUCGUCCUCACGUCAAUAUUUUGCUAUUUAUUUUCCAUCUUCUCCUAGUUUUCACCCUACUCGUUUAAUUCUCUUGAACUUGCUUUAUAUACUCAUUUUGGAAAUUCAGUGCCAACGUUAUCAUUUCCCAUUUGAUUAUCCAUUCUUAGUGCAUUUACUUAAUUCAUGCACUCAGUUGCAGAACACUCUCAAACUAGUUUUCAUCUAUAUCGUCCUUCGUCAUGCUUUCACGGGAAAUUUUCUUACUCUUCGAAAUGAAGUGGAAACAACAAACGCAUCUAAAGAAUUUAUUAGAUUGUCACAAGGAUCUGUUAGUUGGAUUUACUGUAAAUGAGAAGAUAAAAAAAGUAAAAGCAUGCUCGAUUUAACUUCCUAUUUAAAAUAUCCGUAAGUUUUUCAUAGUGAAUAUAUAUUAUAGAGAUUAUUCAAUAAGUUGAACAUUUAGUUCUACAGAAUAGAUUUUAGAUCGGGAAAAAAAAACAUCAAAAAUAAAAGGAAAAUCGAAUUAAACUAUUCCAUAGAAAAAUAAUCGUUUUCAUUGAUUUUCAGUUUGAAUUUAUUUCUACAAAUUUUGUUUUAAUCUUAUAAAAAUUGCUCUGUAUAUCAAAUAAUAUUUUGAAAUGAUGUCAAAUUUUCAAAAUUGAAAUUAUGAGUACAAAUAUCAACUAACAUCACUCGUUAAUAUUCAGGAACAAGAAAAAUUCGAGGCUAUUUUCAAUGGAAAGUAUUUCAAGAGCUCCUUUCCUUGAUGGGCAUAAUGCAAGAGUGCCGUUUCAAUUUUUUUAUUAGUCUCGUAAGAUGGACGAAACUAUCAGGUUUUCAAUUGGAUUGCCUAAUAUCGAUGAUCCGAAUUGAUGCGGUAUAUCAUAACGCAAGACCCUCAAAGGAUACUGAAGCAUAUGGAUAACUGGUACCUCUCACACCUAACAUUGUUAGGCCAUGGAGCCAAUCCAAACCAUCCAAGAAAAAAAGGGACUGAAGAAAUACUUACGCUGGAGCAAACAGAUGGUGUAUCUAAAUUACUUCUGGCCGUAGAUAAAGCAUCACAACCUCGUGGUCGUUCCCAAUCGAUGAAAAAUAUAUCAGAAUGUGUAACUCUCCAAAAGUAG